AAGUCGUAACAAGGUUUCCGUAGGUGAACCUGCGGAAGGAUCAUUAAAGAUUUGGGCCUCGCGCCUCAACACUCUUCAGCUGUGCGCUUCGGCUGCACGCUGUCGAAAACCUCACACCUGUGCACGUUUACGGUCGCGGCUUUCGAGUCGCCUCCGCCUCACAACUUAUAACUACCGUCGAGAACGUAUCUACCAUAAAUAGUAACAACUUUCAACAACGGAUCUCUUGGCUCUC
RNAcentral lists this unclassified non-coding RNA (235 nucleotides) under fungal sp. RNAcentral describes it as "partial internal transcribed spacer region". The stretch from base 1 to 46 matches the Rfam family "Eukaryotic small subunit ribosomal RNA", at positions 1786 to 1831 of the family's 1831-position model. Lineage: Eukaryota; Fungi. The record is from RNAcentral.